Non-coding RNA from Cinara cedri, 717 nucleotides. The record is from the annotation of a GenBank genome assembly. Lineage: Eukaryota; Metazoa; Arthropoda; Insecta; Hemiptera; Aphididae.
ACCCGCAGUAACUAUAUUUGAGGGAUACAUAUAUUACUUAUGUAUUUUUUUCAACAUUUAUAUAAUAAGCUUACAAUAAUAUAAUUAUAAUAUUUGUAUACAAUUAUUAUAAGGUGAUAACUGAUGUUAUAUUAUAUUAUAAUAUAAUUAGUUAUUCUUUUUGGUCGGAUUAAUAAUAAUCCAAUAGUAAAUAAUAUUAUCAUGUUUUAUUAUAUUAUUAUUAUUAUUAUUAUUUAAAUGUAAUACCAGUAUUACCUAGACACUAACAUUGCACAUUAACACACGAUUCUAUAUAAACGGUUUACAAAUAUAAUAUAAUAGUAUCAUAUAUUUAUUAUAAUAAUAAUGACAAGAAGAAUAAGAAUAAAGUGAGGAAGUGUCUUAUAUUUAGAUACGAAUUAUUAUCAAUUGCACUGCAUAUAUCUUCGGUGUCCCAGAAAAGAAGAGCUUAUGUAAAUGUUUGGCAUUUUAUUUUUUAUAAUUUUGUCUAAAUGGCAUAAGUGACUCUUAAGUCACAUAUGCCAUUUUAAGCCCUUCUUCUUUAGAGCAAAAAAUAUAUAAGCGAAUUUAUUAAAAAGUGUAUACAAAAAGAAAAAGAAAAUUAUACUACUAAAUUUUUUUUUCACUUUUUUUUUUAGUAAAGAAUGUAUAACAUUAUAAGUAUUAGUUUUAAUAAUACGACGAGUAUAGACAACUGCUGUGGCUAUACAUAUUACA